This 497-nucleotide ribosomal RNA is filed under the name uncultured bacterium. RNAcentral's name for it is "partial 16S ribosomal RNA". It matches the Rfam family "Bacterial small subunit ribosomal RNA", at positions 28 to 507 of the family's 1533-position model. The record is from RNAcentral.
GACGAACGCUGGCGGCGUGCCUAAUACAUGCAAGUAGAACGCUGAAGAGAGGAGCUUACUCUUCUUGGAUGAGUUGCGAACGGGUGAGUAACGCGUAGGUAACCUGCCUUGUAGCGGGGGAUAACUAUUGGAAACGAUAGCUAAUACCGCAUAACAAUGGAUGACACAUGUCAUUUAUUUGAAAGGGGCAAUUGCUCCACUACAAGAUGGACCUGCGUUGUAUUAGCUAGUAGGUGAGGUAAUGGCUCACCUAGGCGACGAUACAUAGCCGACCUGAGAGGGUGAUCGGCCACACUGGGACUGAGACACGGCCCAGACUCCUACGGGAGGCAGCAGUAGGGAAUCUUCGGCAAUGGGGGCAACCCUGACCAAGCAACGCCGCGUGAGUGAAGAAGGUUUUCGGAUCGUAAAGCUCUGUUGUAAGUCAAGAACGGGUGUGAGAGUGGAAAGUUCACACUGUGACGGUAGCUUACCAGAAAGGGACGGCUAACUACGUG